CCUACGGGCGGCAGCAGUGAGGAAUAUUGGUCAAUGGGCUUACGCCUGAACCAGCCAAGUCGCGUGAGGGAAGACUGCCCUAUGGGUUGUAAACCUCUUUUGUCAGGGAGCAACGCCGGCUACGUGUAGCCGGCCUGAUAGUACCUGCAGAAAAAGCAUCGGCUAACUCCGUGCCAGCAGCCGCGGUAAUACGGAGGAUGCGAGCGUUAUCCGGUUUUAUUGGGUUUAAAGGGUGCGUAGGCGGGCAUUUAAGCCGGCGGUCAAAUGUCGGGGCUCAACCCCGGCCUGCCGUCGGAACUGGGGGCCUUGAGUGGGCGAGAAGUAGGCGGAAUGCGUGGUGUAGCGGUGAAAUGCAUAGAUAUCACGCAGAACCCCGAUUGCGAAGGCAGCAUACCGGCGCCCUACUGACGCUGAGGCACGAAAGUGCGGGUAUCGAACAGGAUUAGAUACCCUAGUAGUC
Molecule: ribosomal RNA, 460 nt
Filed under: uncultured bacterium
Lineage: Bacteria
Description: partial 16S ribosomal RNA
Rfam family: Bacterial small subunit ribosomal RNA
Source: RNAcentral